RNAcentral lists this ribosomal RNA (280 nucleotides) under uncultured prokaryote. Its description in RNAcentral is "partial 16S ribosomal RNA". It matches the Rfam family "Bacterial small subunit ribosomal RNA", at positions 524 to 803 of the family's 1533-position model. The record is from RNAcentral.
UACGUAGGGGCUAGCGUUAUCCGGAAUUACUGGGCGUAAAGGGUGCGUAGGUGGUUUCUUAAGUCAGAGGUGAAAGGCUACGGCUCAACCGUAGUAAGCCUUUGAAACUGAGAAACUUGAGUGCAGGAGAGGAGAGUGGAAUUCCUAGUGUAGCGGUGAAAUGCGUAGAUAUUAGGAGGAACACCAGUUGCGAAGGCGGCUCUCUGGACUGUAACUGACACUGAGGCACGAAAGCGUGGGGAGCAAACAGGAUUAGAUACCCGGGUAGUCCCUGAGCGGG